Molecule: ribosomal RNA, 497 nt
Filed under: uncultured bacterium
Lineage: Bacteria
Description: partial 16S ribosomal RNA
Rfam family: Bacterial small subunit ribosomal RNA
Source: RNAcentral
GAUGAACGCUGGCGGCGUGCCUAAUACAUGCAAGUCGAGCGAACGGACGAGAAGCUUGCUUCUCUGAUGUUAGCGGCGGACGGGUGAGUAACACGUGGAUAACCUACCUAUAAGACUGGGAUAACUUCGGGAAACCGGAGCUAAUACCGGAUAAUAUUUUGAACCGCAUGGUUCAAAAGUGAAAGACGGUCUUGCUGUCACUUAUAGAUGGAUCCGCGCUGCAUUAGCUAGUUGGUAAGGUAACGGCUUACCAAGGCAACGAUGCAUAGCCGACCUGAGAGGGUGAUCGGCCACACUGGAACUGAGCCACGGUCCAGACUCCUACGGGAGGCAGCAGUAGGGAAUCUUCCGAAAUGGGCGAAAGCCUGACGGAGCAACGCCGCGUGAGUGAUGAAGGUCUUCGGAUCGUAAAACUCUGUUAUUAGGGAAGAACAUAUGUGUAAGUAACUGUGCACAUCUUGACGGUACCUAAUCAGAAAGCCACGGCUAACUACGUG